RNAcentral lists this transfer RNA (30 nucleotides) under Vernonia sp. Gostel 476. RNAcentral describes it as "partial tRNA-His". Lineage: Eukaryota; Viridiplantae; Streptophyta; Magnoliopsida; Asterales; Asteraceae. The record is from RNAcentral.
GGCGGAUGUAGCCAAGUGCAUUAAGGCAGU